This 184-nucleotide ribosomal RNA is filed under the name uncultured bacterium. RNAcentral describes it as "partial 16S ribosomal RNA". It matches the Rfam family "Bacterial small subunit ribosomal RNA", at positions 1318 to 1500 of the family's 1533-position model. The record is from RNAcentral.
ACAUGAAGCUGGAAUCGCUAGUAAUCGCAAAUCAGAAUGUUGCGGUGAAUACGUUCCCGGGCCUUGUACACACCGCCCGUCACACCAUGGGAGUUGGAAGCGCCCGAAGUCGAUGACCCAACCGCAAGGAGGGAGUCGCCGAAGGUGAAGCCAGUGACUGGGGGUGAAGUCGUAACAAGGUACC